UGGGAAAAAUUUGCGGUGGUGGCUAGAAAUUGAUGGAAACGGUGGGGAAAACACAUGAACUGGACUCUAACUAGACCUAACUAGCAACAAGACCUCGACCAGGACACAAACUCAACACUGCUGACUCUGAAACUGAAAUAUGCAGAGGCUAUGGCGCGGAAGGGUUGUAGGACACGAAAACGAUAUGGCACUGGACUUAUGGGACGAAGACAAGAACACCCGAAACUAAGGGUAGAUGUGAACCUAACGGUAUACCUCAAGCUCUGAUUACCACUUGAUGAGAACAAGGGUGGCCCGAUCUUCCGAAAGGUUCUGGUAACUCUCGAUUUGGUGGAGACGAGACACAAAUCGAUCCGGCUUCUGAACAACACGAUCUGAAACCAUGCAAGUUUUUUUUUAUUUUUUUGAUAUUUUUCUUUUACUUAGGAGCACUAAAAAAGUAACCACAAAAAAUUUGAUCUUAAACAAGUGAAAGACGUGGCCUGCGGAAUUCUCUGAAGAUUGCGAAAAAUGUGA
Molecule: long non-coding RNA, 516 nt
Filed under: Sorghum bicolor (sorghum)
Lineage: Eukaryota; Viridiplantae; Streptophyta; Magnoliopsida; Poales; Poaceae
Description: long non-coding RNA (SBIC_LNC004837)
Source: RNAcentral